GGAAGCGUGCCUGAAUUAUAAGGACUACUUUGAUAGAGUAGACCACAGAGGCCAAACCCUCUCACUUCC
Molecule: transfer RNA, 69 nt
Filed under: Stenocercus marmoratus
Lineage: Eukaryota; Metazoa; Chordata; Lepidosauria; Squamata; Tropiduridae
Description: tRNA-Ile
Source: RNAcentral